ACCAGUAUAAAGGAAGUGAAUAUGAAAUAAGGGUUUUAGAGUAAUAAACAAAUGAAGUGACGUGCUGAAUGACGGAUGAGAGCAGAUAUAAUAAUCACAUAGUUUGAAGCUGCAGACAGAAACAUCAGACUCAGAACAGAAACACACUACCUCUAAAAAAUGGAGCAAACUCUAUAUUUCAUUCUUCUUCUCGUUGCUCUCUGCUCCGUAUCUGAAUGUGUUCAGCGUCAGUAUCACUUUAUAAAUGAGAUGAAGACCUGGACUGAAGCUCAGAGAUACUGCAGAGAGAAAUACACAGAUCUGGCCACCGCUGACAACAUGAACGACAUGAACGAGCUGAACAAGAGUGUGAAUGUUCAGUUUGUCUGGAUUGGGCUGCAGAAGACGGGUCGUGAUGAAUGGCAUUGGUCUUCAGGUGAACCU
This is a long non-coding RNA of Cyprinus carpio (common carp), 423 nucleotides long. RefSeq lists it as uncharacterized. The transcript has 3 exons. The record is from RefSeq and is a predicted model, not a curated record. NCBI's taxonomy places the organism in Eukaryota, Metazoa, Chordata, Actinopteri, Cypriniformes, Cyprinidae.